This 128-nucleotide ribosomal RNA is filed under the name Cladocopium sp. clade C. RNAcentral describes it as "partial 23S ribosomal RNA". Lineage: Eukaryota; Dinophyceae; Suessiales; Symbiodiniaceae. The record is from RNAcentral.
ACUAAAGUUUAUUAACACUAAAGGACAAAAAGACCCUCUGAAGCUUUAUAGGGAUAAAACUUGGGGUAACAUUCUCAAUACAAAUAUUCUUAUCUAAAGUAGUAAAUUAUUGGUUUUCUCCUAAGACC